RNAcentral lists this small nuclear RNA (107 nucleotides) under Moschus moschiferus (Siberian musk deer). The record is from RNAcentral. Lineage: Eukaryota; Metazoa; Chordata; Mammalia; Artiodactyla; Moschidae.
GUGUUCAUUUCAGGGGCACAUAUCCUAAAAUUGAAAAGAGACAGAGAUGAUUAGUAUGUCCCCUGCAUAAGGAUGACACACAAACUCAAGAAGCAUUCCAUAUUUUU